GCUGGUGAUGAUUUUGGUCAGAAGAGUCUGGUUGCAGGACUGACUCCAGCUGCACAACGCUGGAAUUCCAGGAAUGUCUCCACUCCCAAUCUGGCUUUGAUGAGCUUUGAUGAGUAAAGAAGUGAAAAUUCAGUGAAAGAUCCAUUACUUACCUGCAGUGCCUCGCACCAAUACCAGCAUCACCAUCAACACCAUGAAUCACCAUUAUCUCUUAAACCCUGCCCACAUCCAUGAACUGAACACACUGACCAACUCUGUUUUUGUGAGCAUCUCUUUAAAUUCUGUACUGGUCAAUGCAGGAAAGUAUCAUAACACUUUUAACAGAAUCCGCCUGAAGGAGGCUCCUCUAACUAGUUAUUGACAGUAGAAUAUAACCAGACUGGAACAUGUUCAGCAGUAUCCAAAAACUGCCAAAAAUAAAUAAAAAUAAAUAAUUAAAAGCAUAUGUAAAUCACUCAGUAAAAGUAAUUUGUAGUUUAAUUAUAUUUAAUAUAAAAAUAAAUACAUAUACCUAAAAAUUAUAAAUAUAAUUAUUGUAAAUUUACACGGCCAAUUACCCAACCCACUCACUAGGAAUCCCCCUAUCACUAGUAAUGUCCCAACACACCAGGAAGGUGAAGACUAAUACAUGCUCCUCUGAUACAUGUGAAGUCAGACUCCGCCUCUUUUCGAGCUGCUGCUGAUGUAGCAUUGCCGAGUAGCAUCACAGCGCUAACGCUCAGAGAAAAGCGCAGCGACUGUGCUGCAGACAUCACCCUAGGAGUGAUGUGGGGAGAGAGCGCCAUCGACCCACCCGGAGGGAGCAGGGUCAAUUUGGCUCCCUCUGAGCGCCGGCAGCUUGAUGGCAAAGCUGCAUGAGCGGGGGUUCAAACCUGCGACUCAGCAGAGACAAACCAUACCAUAAACGGGGGGCAGUCCAGAGUUCAAACACAGGCAAGAAGUAACAAGGAGAAGGCAAAAAUCAAGGUAGCAAACACAGUCCAGGUCAUACACCAGAAAAAUCCAAAAAAUAGGGAGCAGGCAAUAAUCGAGGUUGGAAAAACAUGGAAACAGGAUCAUACACGGAAUAAAAAUAGAAGGCAAGAAAAACCUUUUUUCUUUUGUAUGUGUAUCUAUAUAUAUAUAUAUAUACACACACACACACACACACAUAUCUUGUCAUUUGAAAAUCUGAAGAAGUUCUUCUUAAUACGCUGUACUCUACUAAUGCUGUGCUUCUUAAUAAACAGGUUAAAUAUAGAAUAGAGCUGCUGAGAUCUUUAUCUCUCUUUAUAUGAGAGUGAUUUUGUUUAAAUAACUUCAUAUAACUUCAAUAACUUCAUUUAAAUAACACGUGUUAUAUAGACCGUAGAUCUAUACUAACUUGUCAUAAUGAUUUUUUUCCGUUUUCAGAAAAACGCCAUAGUUACAUUUAUUCCAGUUAGAAAUGUAUGCAGUCAACUUUUUUCAUCUUAUUUUAUAACUGUGUAUUUUGUGUUAACCGUUUGUAUU
Astyanax mexicanus (Mexican tetra) is the source of this 1491-nucleotide long non-coding RNA. RefSeq lists it as uncharacterized. NCBI's taxonomy places the organism in Eukaryota, Metazoa, Chordata, Actinopteri, Characiformes, Acestrorhamphidae. The record is from RefSeq and is a predicted model, not a curated record. The transcript is spliced from 3 exons.